AUGAUGAACCUCUGCACCAAGCUCUCGCGCUUCUUCCUAAGCUGUAGUUCCAUUCCAGGUCACCAUGUUAGAGCUCGUGUUUUCAACCCCAGUGAAUUUGUCAGAACCAACAGUGUUGUAGCUCAUGUAACGGAUAACAUCUUGAGCACAAGGAGCCCGGAGAUCACCAUUAGCAAACUCAACAUCAGAUUCAUCUUGAUGCAACCUGAUUGUUACACAAUUGGCAAAUCCGUCGCCCGCGCCAUGGCAACACACAAGGUUGGUGCAGCUGAGUUCGAGAUCAUAACAGAGAAAAUUCACAAGUGUUCUCCUGCCGAGCUCCUCGACCAUGCGAAGCAGUUCAAUGAUUUUUUCAGUGCUUGUCCGGAUGCAUUUGCUGGCCUCAAGCGCCUGUGGCUGUGCAAUAUGAGGUUUGGUGAAUCGGACAUACCCAACAUCCUCAGCACCUGCAAGCUCUUGGAGUCUUUGCAUUUAACCAAUUGCGACUCGGGGAUGAAUUCUAUGCUGCAACUAGAACAUGCUAAACUUACUGAGCUCGAGGUCGACUUUGGGAAAUUUGAGAUAGUUGAGCUGGCAUGUCUACCAAAACUCCAACGGGUGAGCUAUAAGGGCUGGUUCAACUCUCAUAAAGGUCUCCUGUAUUUUGGUUUUGUACCACAGCUUUCAAAGCCGAGGCUUAGUAAAAUUGGCACCCGACCAACUAGGACUCUUGAGUUAAGUCAGCUCCUUGGUAAUGUUCCUUACAUAGGCAACCUGCAUCUGGAUUUUCAAAGUGAAAAGAUUUGGGUUCUGCCAGAAAGCCCGAAGCUGCUCAGACAUGUGCUCAGCCAACUACAGCAGAUGAAUCUGGACAAUCUUUCUGAAGGAUGUGAUUUAGCUUGGACAAUGUUUAUUUUUUAA
Molecule: ribosomal RNA, 900 nt
Filed under: Triticum aestivum (bread wheat)
Lineage: Eukaryota; Viridiplantae; Streptophyta; Magnoliopsida; Poales; Poaceae
Description: partial small subunit ribosomal RNA
Source: RNAcentral